UACGUAGGGUGCAAGCGUUGUCCGGAAUUACUGGGCGUAAAGGGCGCGCAGGCGGCUUACCAAGUCAGAUGUGAAAUAACCGGGCUUAACCUGGAAGGGUCAUUUGAAACUGGUAGGCUAGAGUACAGCAGAGGUUAGCGGAAUUCCCGGUGUAGUGGUGAAAUGCGUAGAUAUCGGGAGGAACACAAGAGGCGAAGGCGGCUAACUGGGCUUGUACUGACGCUGAGGCGCGAAGGCUAGGGGAGCAAACAGG
This 253-nucleotide ribosomal RNA is filed under the name uncultured bacterium. RNAcentral's name for it is "partial 16S ribosomal RNA". It matches the Rfam family "Bacterial small subunit ribosomal RNA", at positions 524 to 776 of the family's 1533-position model. The record is from RNAcentral.